Molecule: ribosomal RNA, 366 nt
Filed under: uncultured Glomeromycotina
Lineage: Eukaryota; Fungi; Glomeromycota
Description: eukaryotic LSU rRNA
Source: RNAcentral
UUGAAAGGGAAACGAUUGAAGUCAGUCGUACCUGCGGGUAAUCAGCCUUUUGGGUGUGAUUAUGUGGAGCGUGAGGAGCUUAAUCGCCUUCAUCUUUGCAUAUUCGUGCACUUGGGGUGUACUUGCUCGUGUGGUAGGUUAACAUCAAUUUUGAUCGUCAUAAAAUGACUAGAGGAAUGUAGCUUCGAUCUCGUAUUGAAGUGUUAUAGCCUUUGGUAGAUGUGAUGAUUAGGAUUGAGGAUUGCAACGGAUACCCUUCGGGGCUACCUGCUUGAUCUCUGAAAGUUGCUCUGGUGCUGAAAGCUUGCUUAUGGUAUCAAAGUUGACGUUCAAUAGGUUAGAACGGGAUAAAUUCGUUAAGGAUGU